GGGUUUUGAUUUUGUUCAUUUUUUUUCUAUGUAUUUAGAAAAAAAUUAUUAAAAACGACUAGUGAGAAAGACAUUAGAAUUAGGUAAAACAUUCUCUUUGCCAAACCCAAGUGGUGUUUUAAGGCCUUGAGAUUUGUGCUUUCAGUUCACUGAAUUCUUUCUGCUGACUAACAGACCAGUCAGAUAAACACUCCUCUAUCACUGAAGAUAGAAACAGGCAUGGAAAACCAAGGAAAAUCUUCAAAAGACCUGAAAAGGGCCAGCCUCGAAUGGGUGUUGUAAAGGACACCAAGGGACAGAUAGCAACAGCACUAAAGAUGAUCAGAUGAGGAUGGAAGGAGCAGGGCCAGCUCUAGAAAUUUCAGCAAAUUCUGGGCAAAGUUAUAUUCUUGAGUCUUUUCUGACAUAGACAUGAUGAUACAUAAUAAUUUGGAAAUUAAAGUGGUUCGAGUUGAAUCAGUGAUUAUCAGCUGCUGUCCUGUUACUGAAAUAAGAUGAAAAUUAUUAAACAACAUCACUAUAACAUAUAAUAGCUGAUUAUACUCUUUAACAGAAUAUACAUUUUGGGGUUAUUCCAUUAACUAUAAUAAGUAUAUUUCAGGUAGUAUCAAAGUAUCAGAGUUGUUGGGAGUCCGCUGCCAUUUAAAUUUAAUAAAUUGUUUAAUCAGUGGACAUUUAUAAGGAAAGGAAUCUUACGUGUUGUUUGAAUUCUUUUAAGUACUUUGAAAUAAUUCAAUGAAAAUUUGAGUAUUUCAAUUGUAAAUUUCAAAUUAAUAUUGACAUUAAUAAAUAGUUAAGUGUUGCAGAGAAUCUAUAGGGAAUAAUAAAUAUUGUUAAAAUGAGUGUUACUUCAAGACUGUUACUUAACAUUGGAAGAAUUCUUGUGUUGUUUUUUGUUAGGUAUUUAACAUAUUUUGAUACGAUGUUGAGAAAGGUUCAAUAGGACAAACUUGGAGGUUAUUAUUGAAAUGACAACUUAAGAAAAUUGGGGCAGCGGGUGGAGACCGACUUUCCCAAUUUCCAUUUCCAUCAUUGUGCUUACAUUUUGAACUUUUUGCUGUGGAAUCUAAGUGAUUCUCCCCAAAGAAUUGUGAGCACUACUAGAAAAUUAUUAUUUGACUCUGCAGGUGACUUGCAAGGUUUUGACUUCGGUAUCAAGCAACAGUGAGCUCUUCAACAUUAAAAAAGUUUAAGAUAUAUAUGGGAUAAGCCUCAGAAGGAAGUUUAAUUCCUAUGAGAAAUUGUGGUAACGGGGAACCUUGAUUUAUGACCAGAAUUUCUAUUGUUAAAUGAGGCAGUUGUAAAAUGAGACAUUGUGUGACCAUAAUCCUGGCCCUUCCAGCUGCCCUUUUUAACCAAGAAUUGUGGAUCAUAAGUGGGAGGAAGCUUCCAGUGAGGAAGAGUGCCACGCACAAGUUUGGGGGUGCUGCAAAGCCCUUAAAAUCGGACUUUUAAAGAGAAUCCCGAAAGUGGACAGAAGGGGGUUUGUACAUCUUCAUCCUAGGUACCAGUUAAGGUGUUCCUAGAUCAGGAAGUGUUAUUGAUGGUUAAUCAUACUUUUUAUUUGGAUUGGUGCAAUUCACUCUACGUGGGACUGCCCUUGAAGACCAUCUGGAAAUUCUGGCUGCUCGUCAAUGCGGCAGUGCAAUUAGUAACAGGCUCAGCUAGGUUUGGUAUGUGACAUCACCACUUCAGGAAUGGCACCAGCUUUCAGUCGGUUUCUGAGUGCUUAUUGUUCUGCUUGAAAACUUCAAAGCUCUUCAAUAUCCAAAUUUCUCUUGACAUGGGGUAUGGUAACAUCAGUUUGCCAAUGAUACUCAGUCAUACAUCUCUACCCAGGGCGAGCCACAUAAUGCCAUUGAGGUCCUUCCUCAGUGCCGGAGGCUGUGAAGGUCAGGAAGGGGGGUGGGGAAAGAUCUUAGUUAAAUCCUGUCAAAGAUUGAGUAGCUGUGAGGUCCCUGCGUCAGGCACGAAAGACCAGGACCACAGGAAUCUUCUCAAAUAAAGGUUAGCACCUGCUUGGAAUUAGUUAAGGGUCAAUGGCAUUCAAAAGGGAUUAGACCGAGUUUGCUUAUGGCUAAUGGCUACGUAGGGACUCUAGACUGAUCCCUCUUUUUUACUCUGCUCCCAGAUUCUGCCCUCCUGCACCCUGGCUCUGUUGAUUUUCCCUCGUUAUCUCUGCCUGGAGGUGCACUCCUCCAAGUCAGAGUGGAGGCACAAUUUGGGUUUCUCUUGGACUCACUGCUCCUGCCCAAAGAGCAGGUGGCUGUUGUGACAUGUCACUACCUAGACUAGGUAACAUCAUCAGUGCACUACAAGAAAACGAGAGAGCACAGAGAGCACCAAGGACCCCUCAUGUCAACCCUGAGCUACAGAUAUUCUCCUUUAUUAAUAAAAAGAUGAGGACCAGCCUUCAGAUGUUACCUUGACUUCACCAUCCUUGGUCAAACUUUGGCUAUUUGCAGGCUCUUAAGAAAUAGAAUAAGCAGUAAUUUUUGCUUGUCUCUUUUGUGGUUUACUUAGCCCAAUUUCCUGUAUUAGAGGUUGCAAACCAAGUUGGUUGUAGCCACUACAAGUGAGAACCAUUAUGUAUAGUAACUUGUAACUCUGUCUCUUCAUUUAAUUUAGCAUAUUGUCUGUCUAUUAUGCAAUAUUUAUUAUAUAUUUUAUUUGUUAAUAAAAAAUUAUGUCAGGUUUA
This is a non-coding RNA of Pantherophis guttatus, 2698 nucleotides long. NCBI's taxonomy places the organism in Eukaryota, Metazoa, Chordata, Lepidosauria, Squamata, Colubridae. The record is from RefSeq and is a predicted model, not a curated record.